AGAGAGAGACAUGCGCGCAUAUCAAUAAGCGGAGGAAAAGAAACUAACAAGGAUUCCCUUAGUAACGGCGAGUGAAGCGGGAAGAGCUCAAAUUUGAAAUCUUCAAGGUUCUACCUUGACGAAUUGUAGUUUAUAGAAGUGUUUUCUGUUAGUGGAGUGGCAAAAGUUCUUUGGAAUAGGACAUCAUAGAGGGUGAGAAUCCCGUAUUUGACCAUUACUUCCUAGCGUUGUGAUACACUUUCAAAGAGUCGGAUUGUUUGGGAAUGCAGUCCAAAAUGGGUGGUAAAUUUCAUCUAAAGCUAAAUAUUGGCGAGAGACCGAUAGCGAACAAGUACCGUGAGGGAAAGAUGAAAAGAACUUUGAAAAGAGAGUUAAACAGUACGUGAAAUUGUCAAAAGGGAAGCGUUUGACACCAGUGUUGUUUUUCCGAAAAUCAAUUACGAAUGUUUUAUUUUUGAGGAGUUAUGACUUCAUCGGCUUGCUCCUUUCUUUAUGAAACUUUCUUAAUGCACUUUUCGGUUAACAAGUCAACAUCAAUUUCUUUUGUUGUAAAAGGGUAUGAGGAAGGUGGCUUUCUUUUCGGAGAAAGUGUUUAUAGCCUUGUGCCUCUGCAAUCGGAGAGAUUGAGGUCUGCAGCGUAGAUCCUUCGGGGUUAGAUACGUUUGUGCUAAGUUAUAGCUUUUCAUAGACAACUUGUUGACUAUGUUUAGUCUUGUAGCUUACUCGCUGACGCUAUUUUACCUACGCUUAGGAUGUUGAUAGUCACAGCGUGUAC
This 775-nucleotide ribosomal RNA is filed under the name uncultured Neocallimastigales. RNAcentral's name for it is "partial large subunit ribosomal RNA". It matches the Rfam family "Eukaryotic large subunit ribosomal RNA", at positions 23 to 644 of the family's 3401-position model. The record is from RNAcentral. Lineage: Eukaryota; Fungi; Neocallimastigomycota; Neocallimastigomycetes; Neocallimastigales.